RNAcentral lists this ribosomal RNA (253 nucleotides) under uncultured bacterium. RNAcentral describes it as "partial 16S ribosomal RNA". It matches the Rfam family "Bacterial small subunit ribosomal RNA", at positions 524 to 776 of the family's 1533-position model. The record is from RNAcentral.
UACGGAGGGUGCAAGCGUUAAUCGGAAUUACUGGGCGUAAAGCGCACGCAGGCGGUUUGUUAAGUCAGAUGUGAAAUCCCCGCGCUUAACGUGGGAACUGCAUUUGAAACUGGCAAGCUAGAGUCUUGUAGAGGGGGGUAGAAUUCCAGGUGUAGCGGUGAAAUGCGUAGAGAUCAGGAAGAACAUCGGUGGCGAAGGCGCUUUGCUGGACCAUAACUGACACUCAGGGACGAAAGCUAGGGGAGCGAAUGGG